Albula goreensis is the source of this 72-nucleotide non-coding RNA. NCBI's taxonomy places the organism in Eukaryota, Metazoa, Chordata, Actinopteri, Albuliformes, Albulidae. The record is from the annotation of a GenBank genome assembly.
UAAUGUGUAGUCUAGUGGCUAAGGUACAUGACUCGGAGCCUUGAGGUUGGUGGUUCAGUCCAGCCACAGCAA